This 858-nucleotide ribosomal RNA is filed under the name Pestalotiopsis photiniicola. RNAcentral's name for it is "eukaryotic LSU rRNA". It matches the Rfam family "Eukaryotic large subunit ribosomal RNA", at positions 56 to 948 of the family's 3401-position model. Lineage: Eukaryota; Fungi; Ascomycota; Sordariomycetes; Amphisphaeriales; Sporocadaceae. The record is from RNAcentral.
GAGACAACAGGGAUUGCCUUAGUAACGGCGAGUGAAGCGGCAACAGCUCAAAUUUGAAAUCUGGCCCUCGGGUCCGAAUUGUAAUUUGUAGAGGAUGAUUUUGGUGCGGUAUCUUCCGAGUUCCUUGGAACAGGACGCCUUAGAGGGUGAGAGCCCCGUACGGUUGAAUGCCUAGCCUCUGUAAAUCUCCUUCGACGAGUCGAGUAGUUUGGGAAUGCUGCUCUAAAUGGGAGGUAAAUUUCUUCUAAAGCUAAAUAUUGGCCAGAGACCGAUAGCGCACAAGUAGAGUGAUCGAAAGAUGAAAAGCACUUUGAAAAGAGGGUUAAAUAGCACGUGAAAUUGUUGAAAGGGAAGGAUUUGUGACCAGACUUUUUCUGGGCGGAUCAUCCGGGGUUCUCUCCGGUGCACUUUGCCCAGUAAAGGCCAGCAUCGAUUUUCGGCGGCGGAUAAAAGCAGUGGGAAUGUGGCUCCCUACGGGGAGUGUUAUAGCCCAUUGUAUAAUACGCUGCUGGGGAUCGAGGUACGCGCUUCUGCAAGGAUGCUGGCGUAAUGGUUAUCAAUCACCCGUCUUGAAACACGGACCAAGGAGUCGAACAUUUAUGCGAGUGUUUGGGUGUUAAACCCUCACGCGUAAUGAAAGUGAACGGAGGUGAGAGCCCGUACGGGUGCAUCAUCGACCGAUCCUGAAGUUUUCGGAUGGAUUUGAGUAAGAGCAUAACUGUUCGGACCCGAAAGAUGGUGAACUAUGCGUGGAUAGGGUGAAGCCAGAGGAAACUCUGGUGGAGGCUCGCAGCGGUUCUGACGUGCAAAUCGAUCGUCAAAUCUGCGCAUGGGGCGAAAGACUAAUCGACCUCAUGC